CUUGGAAGAGUACGUGCCAGAAAGACCACAACCAAGCAGCCUUGAGAUCUUAGGCAGCGUCUCCCUGAGCGACUCCAUGGAUUUUAUGGAUGGUGGUUAAAGACCUGCUCUUCUAGUGGUCUUCCUUCUAGUCGCUGUAAAAAGUCAGUCCAUCCUGGCCGACUUCAACACCUCUUCAUGACAACUUGUUCUGCCUCUGACCUCUUGGAAACUCCAGAAACUGGGGAAAACCUGUGGAGACUCGAAGAACUCGUGGUGACUCGAAGAACUCGUGGAGACUCGAAGAACUCGUCGGGCGGGG
This is a long non-coding RNA of Amphiprion ocellaris (clown anemonefish), 301 nucleotides long. The record is from Ensembl. Lineage: Eukaryota; Metazoa; Chordata; Actinopteri; Pomacentridae.